GCGGGUGUGAUCUAGUCUGGUAGGAUCGGAGCUUCCCAAGCUUCUCGCUCGGGUUCAAAUCCCGGCACCCGCA
RNAcentral lists this transfer RNA (73 nucleotides) under Thermoplasmatota archaeon. RNAcentral describes it as "Candidatus Thermoplasmatota archaeon tRNA-Gly". It matches the Rfam family "tRNA". From Rfam's summary of the family: Transfer RNA (tRNA) molecules are approximately 80 nucleotides in length. Their secondary structure includes four short double-helical elements and three loops (D, anti-codon, and T loops). Further hydrogen bonds mediate the characteristic L-shaped molecular structure. tRNAs have two regions of fundamental functional importance: the anti-codon, which is responsible for specific mRNA codon recognition, and the 3' end, to which the tRNAs corresponding amino acid is attached (by aminoacyl-tRNA synthetases). tRNAs cope with the degeneracy of the genetic code in two manners: having more than one tRNA (with a specific anti-codon) for a particular amino acid; and 'wobble' base-pairing, i.e. permitting non-standard base-pairing at the 3rd anti-codon position. The record is from RNAcentral. Lineage: Archaea; Methanobacteriati; Thermoplasmatota.